Triplophysa rosa is the source of this 314-nucleotide long non-coding RNA. RefSeq lists it as uncharacterized. The transcript has 3 exons. Lineage: Eukaryota; Metazoa; Chordata; Actinopteri; Cypriniformes; Nemacheilidae. The record is from RefSeq and is a predicted model, not a curated record.
UGCGCAUGCGCCUUCCGUCACACGUGUUGGUGUCUUCAGGAGCGCGCGGUGAAGAUGGCGGACAUGGACAUUGGUUCAGCCAAGAAAGAGAAGAGAAAGAAGACGAAGAAAGUUUCAGAUGAAGAAGUUGGGGAAAUUCAGGAGAGCGGUGAUUUUCUCAUCAAACCCGAGUCUCGGGUGGCCAGUUUGGACACAUCUCAAUGGCCGUUACUGUUGAAGGUACACGUGUAUGUGUGUGUGUUCUGAUGAUGAUGAAGAAUGUGCGUGUGUCUCGUGAUGAACGUGUUUAUCCAUUCUCUGAGUGUCUGGGGUCU